CAGUCGCCACGGGAAUACGAAGGGGGCUAGCGUUGCUCGGAAUCACUGGGCGUAAAGGGUGCGUAGGCGGGUCUUUAAGUCAGGGGUGAAAUCCUGGAGCUCAACUCCAGAACUGCCUUUGAUACUGAAGAUCUUGAGUUCGGGAGAGGUGAGUGGAACUGCGAGUGUAGAGGUGAAAUUCGUAGAUAUUCGCAAGAACACCAGUGGCGAAGGCGGCUCACUGGCCCGAUACUGACGCUGAGGCACGAAAGCGUGGGGAGCAAACAGGAUUAGAUACCCGUGUAGUCCCUGUCUCUUAUAU
Molecule: ribosomal RNA, 301 nt
Filed under: uncultured bacterium
Lineage: Bacteria
Description: partial 16S ribosomal RNA
Rfam family: Bacterial small subunit ribosomal RNA
Source: RNAcentral